Oncorhynchus nerka (sockeye salmon) is the source of this 4036-nucleotide long non-coding RNA. RefSeq lists it as uncharacterized. Lineage: Eukaryota; Metazoa; Chordata; Actinopteri; Salmoniformes; Salmonidae. The record is from RefSeq and is a predicted model, not a curated record. The transcript is spliced from 3 exons.
ACCAAGCAUACAGUGCUAGCCAAUGGGCAUGAUAUUAUAGUAACAGACAUAGUAAAGGUCCAUUGAAUGGUAACCGUAGGCGGACGUAAGUAUUGCCGCACACUUACACACAGUAAUUUACGGUAACUUCCAGUAAACAGGUGUUUGUCGUAGGGUUCUCAGGACUCCGGCAUGCACGCCCACGCAGUACUGUUGGCAUACGUUCAUGAGGUGAAUAGACGAGACAUAAUUGGUGCAUCAUGUUUGGGGGACAUAGUCAUAGCAUAUUGGUUUAAAAAGUACUGACAUAUACAAACCACAGACAUGUACAUAUUUACUUUAGUUCAUGUGUAAUAAUGACCAGACACUUGUAUCCUUACGCGUCAUUUCACCUUUCUUGGCACACUUGAACGUUGGGUCAGUAACCGAAAGGUCCCAAGUUCGAAUCCCACGAGCAGACAAGGUAAAAUGGGUACAUUUCCAUAUCCGUCAUUAAGUGUAUGGCUACAAUCAUAUUAGGACAAGGCCAUUUGCCAAUUAGGCUACUUUAGCCACCGCCUACAUGUCAUGUAAUCAUUGAUAGAUGUCUGCUGCCUUCUAGUUGUGUGCGCCUCAACCUCCAGCUCUGACAGGCCACCAUGCCCACAUGAACGCUGGUGGGCACUAGAGCAAAUUCGAUUGAACAUGAUAAUACAUCAUAGCCUGAAGGUUUUGAACAGCACCACAGAAGGGUGGAGAAUAGAGCCAGAGUAUUGAUUUGAGAUUUGAGUAAGGACCAUGCCUCAGGACUACCUGGCAUGAUGACUCCUUGCUGUCCCCAGUCCACCUGGCCGUGCUGCUGCUCCAGUUUCAACUGUUCUGCCUGCGGCUAUGGAACCCUGACCUGUUCACCGGACGUGCUACCUCUUCCAGACCUGCUGUUUUCAACUCUCUAGAAACAGCAGGAGUGGUAGAGAUACUCUUAAUGAUCGGCUAUGAAAAGCCAACUGACAUUUACUCCUGAGGUGCUGACUUGUUGCACCCUCGAAAACUACUGUGAUUAUUAUUAUUUGACCAUGCUGGUCAUUUAUGAACAUUUGAACAUAUUGGCCAUGUUCUGUUAUAAUCUCCACCCGGCACAGCCAGAACAGGACUGGCCACCCCUCAUAUCCUGGUUCCUCUCUAGGUUUCUUCCUAGGUUUUGGCCUUUCUAGGGAGUUUUUCCUAGCCACCGUGCUUCUACGCCUGCAUUGCUUGCUGUUUGGGGUUUUAGGCUGGGUUUCUGUACAGCACUUUGAGAUAUCAGUUGAUGUCUGAGGGGUUCUGAUGUUCUGAGGGGGCCCUUUAAAAAACUAAAUGUGUUAUUCAUUUAUUCUGUAUGUUUUUAUUAUCCCCUCCACCACCCCACCUCUGCGGAGGACAAAUAUAUUUUUGUUGUUUUACAACUUUUCUGCUACAUACAGUUGAAGUCGGAAGUUUACAUACACCUUAGCCAAAUACAUUUAAACUCAGUUUUUCACAAUUUCUGAUAUUUAAUCUUAGAAAACAUUCCCUGUCUUACAUCAUUUAGGAUCAUCACUUUAUUUUAAGAAUGUGAAAUGUCAAAAUAAUAUUAGAGAGUGAUUUUGUUUCGGCUUUUAUUUAUUUCAUUACAUUCCCAGUGGGUCAGAAGUUUACAUACACUCAAUUAGUAACAUUGCCAUUAAAUUGUUUAACUUGGGUCAAACAUUUUGGGUAGCCUUCCACAAGCUUCCCACAAUAAUUUGGGUGAAUUUUGUACCAUUCCUCCUGACAGAGCUGGUGUAACUGAGUCAGGUUUGUAGACCUCCUUGCUCGUACACGCUUUUUCAGUUCUGCCCACAAAUGUACUAUUGGAUUGAGGUCAGGGCUUUGUGAUGGCCACUCCAAUGGCUUGACUUUGUUGUCCUUUGUUGACCAUUUUGCCACAACGUUGGAAGUAUGCUUGGAGUCAUUGUCCAUUUGGAAGACCCAUUUGCGACCAAGCUUUAAGUUCCUGACUGAUGUCUUGAGAUUUUGCUUCAAUAAAUCCACAUAAUUUUCCCUCUUCAUGAUGCCAUCUAUUUUGUGAAGGGCACCAGUCCCUCCUGCAGCAAAGCACCCCCACAACAUGAUGCUGCCACCCCUGUGCUUCACGGUUGGGACUGUGUUCUUCGGCUUGCAAGCCUCCCCCUUUUUCCUCUAAACAUAAUGAUGGUCAUUAUGGCCAAACAGUUCUAUUUUUGUUUCAUCAAACCAGAGGACAAUUCUCCAAAAAGUACGAUAUUUGUCCCCAUGUGCAGUUGCCAACUGUAGUCUGUCUUUUUUAUGACGGUUUUGGAGCAGUGGCUUCUUCCUUGCUGUGCGGCCUUUCAGGUUGAACGUGGUACCUUCAGGCAUUUGUAAAUUGCUCCCAAGGAUUAACCAGACUUGUGGAGGUCAACAUUUUUUUUCUGAGUUCUUGGCUGAUUUCUUUUGAUUUUCCCAUGAUGUCAAGCAAAGAGGCACUGAGUUUGAAGGUAGGCCUUGAAAUACAUCCACAGGUACACCUCCAAUUGACUCAAAUUAUGUCAAUUAGCCUAUCAGAAGUUUCUAAAGCCAUGACAUCCUUUUCAGGACUUUUCCAGGCUGUUUAAAGGUACAGUCAACUUAGUGUAUGUAAACUGACCCACUGGAAUUGUGAUACAGUGAAUUAUAAGGGAAAUAAUCUGUCUGUAAACAAUUGUUGGAAACAUUACUUGUGUCAUGCACAAAGUAGAUGUCCUAACCGACUUGCCAAAACUGUAGUUUGUGGAGUGGUUGAAAAAUGAGUUUUAAUGACUCCAACCUAAGUGUAUGUAAACGUCCGACUACAACUGUAUACAUACAUUUUACAUGUACAUUUUGCAUACAUGGUACUUUUAUAUAAAACAGUCAAAUAACAAUAAUGCAUGACCAAACAUCAGCUCUUUAAUCCCACCCCUCAGCCACUCUCAGCCCAUCCCACCUAUCACCAUAAACCACCCCUCAGCCACUCUCAGCCCAUCCCACCUAUCACCAUAGACUACCCUCGUAUGGUUUCCAUGCGCAGUAUAUGUUUCAAUUAUGCUGUGAUGUUUUACAUAUUUUUUAAAAACUUUUCUAAUCGUAUUAUAUCCACAGAUUGUGAGCUAAAGAUGAAAACCUUUCCUACGAGUAUUAUAUUAUUUAUUGACUGACUAUAGCUUUCCAAAUUGCCCAACACUAUUUGUAAGGUUAAUUUUAAGUGUAUUUUGUGAUAUUUUUUUUUUAACCCAUCCUGAACUUGUGACCAGAAACAAGCGACAUACAGUAGGGGCAAUACCAGAAUACAUGAUCUAUUGAUUGUCUCUUCGCAGCCAAAUCUACAGAGCUGAGAUUGUUGUAUGCCACAAUAUAGCAUUCUGUUGGUGGCAAGAAUUUUAUAUAUAAAAAUUUGCAUUGAUAAACUCAAGUGUAGUUUUUUGUACCAGUUCAUAAACUAUGUGCCAUGGAAUCGGGACAUCGAUAAUCUCUUCCCAUUUAUUUUGCAACCUGUAUGGAGCAGCUGUCAACGUUUUUGUCCUCAAAUAAUUAAAUUGGUAUAUUUUUCUAUUUAUGCCAGUUCCCUUCAGCCAAUUUGUAUCUUUAAUAUGUGGCAGACAAACAAGUUCCCUACCUUCUCCCUUUUCCACUUGCCUCCUCCAUUUUUUUGUGGUAAUGCUGCAAUCAGUUGGUUGUAAAUUUGGAUUGAGCAGAUAUUUCCGAUAGCUGCAUAUGUGACAUAACUCCUCUAUUUCUAUUCAUAAUAUCAUUAAUAAAUAUAAUACCAUUUUUCAACAUCUUUUCCAUAUAGAAUGUAUUUUUAUUCAUCAGUAUAUUUGAGUUUAACCAUAACAUUUGUUGUAAUAUUUGUUCUAUCUUUUCUGGAGGAUAAAACUGAAAUUGUAACCAGCUUUGUAUGGCUUGUUUAAAGAAAGGGUGAUACUUUAAACUACAUUUCAUUUUCAAUUAGUCAGAAAUGAGAAGUUGUAAUCUGUAUAAAGGCAAAAAGGCCAUGUUUGAACAAAGGAUGAGUUUUUCUUAAUAAACUACUGGAGAACCA